Molecule: long non-coding RNA, 5490 nt
Filed under: Carica papaya (papaya)
Lineage: Eukaryota; Viridiplantae; Streptophyta; Magnoliopsida; Brassicales; Caricaceae
Description: long non-coding RNA (CPAP_LNC009195)
Source: RNAcentral
UGUACGUCAAGCAGACAGGUUCUCAGCUAAAAUUUCCUUCUUAAACCCAAUUAUGUUCAAGAAGAAUUGGAUUUCUGUCUUCAACUUCUCCUUGGAGGUCAUAAGAAGAAGCUAACCCUCUAAACAUAAUCACACUUUAAUUUCUCCGGAAACCCAUAACUUACGAUCAAAUCAAAUUUUUUCUUGAAACUUUUUCCACUCAGGCAACCGAUCAUAUUAUAUUUCCCCAAACGAGCAUCUCCUUGAGUUAGCUGACACUCAUGACACAAAAAAAAAAAACCAAGCAAGAUCAGAACCCAAAAGAGCUACUCCUUACUUUAUUAGUGGAGUCUCAUAAUAGAAUUUAUUAUCAUAACUCUUGGCAGAUUAGAAAAACUCAAACCACAUCAAGAAGCCAUAAAGGAGCUCGGAAUGUUAUAAUAUCACCUUUGCAGGCCUUCUGAUGUAAUAUGAGGCCUGAAAUGUCGAGAAACCAAAACUGAAAUCAGAACUUGAUGUAAACAAAUAUUAUUUGGGAUUCAUAUGAAUCAUGAAAACAGCAGAACUACCGUAAUGAAAAUGCAGCAUCAAAUCCAUCAUAAUGGAAUUCCAAAAACAACAUACUGCAAGUAACUAAUUGACACCAAAAGGAACAAAAUAAAAGUGGCCAUUGUUGUUUCUGAAUUUCUUUAUCUGCAGAUAUGAAUCUAUAAGUUGAAAAAUCAGUUAAAUCUUUACACAUUUGUUCAAAUAGCAUAUCUUCCACUUUGUGGCAUGCCCAGGUCUUUUAUGGGUUUUCUUUUUCUCUUGCACCACUUCAAAGCAAGGAAAAUGACAUGGUUCUUCAGUGAUUUUUUUUAACAGGAAAAAGGUUAUCCAUAAAACCCUGAACCAUUUUCCGGUCUUUUCAAAUUCAUGCAUAGCUAACUUGAACAUAAUGUCGAAGGAGAAGCACCUACCUCCUUCCCUCCUUACCAGAGCAAAGUGACCAGAGACUCUAAUACAUUACAAACUAAAUUAUAUAAUUUACGUAAAUAUAUAAUUUAUACCAUUGAUCAGAAAAUAAAUAUAAGAGAUAGCAAAAAGAAAAAAGUACAUAGACAAACAAAUGGGAGCUAGGGAGACCCGAACCAAUUUAUAUAUUAAUAUUCCGUCUGAUCUCCUAAUUCCCCCAAAAUCAAAAAGAACGUGAGUUUUAUUGCACUUUUUGACCUGUCAUGCGAGCGCGCCCACCAUGGCAAAGGUCGAACAUGUAAAUUAUAUAAUUUACAUAAAUAUAUAAUUUAUACCCAUGGCAAAGGUCGAACAUGUAAAUUAUAUAAUUUACAUAAAUAUAUAAUUUAUACUAUUGGUCCAAAAAUAAAUAUAAAAAUUAGGGCAAAAAAAAAAAAUACACAGACAAAAAUCAGAGAUAGUAAGAGUUUACCAAAAUAAUAUUUUAAUAUCCCGUGCCAAGCCAAUUUAUAUAUUAAUAUCCUGUCCCGUCUAGCAAUCCCAGCAAAACCAAAAGAAAAACGUGAGUUUUAUUAUGCUUUUUGACCUGCCAUGCAAUCGCACUUACCAUAGAAGAGGUCAAACAUGUAAAUUAUAUAAUUUACAUAAGUACAUAAUUUAUACUAUUGGUUAGAAAAUAAAUAUAAAAAAUAAGAAAGAGAAAAAAAUACACAGGUAGACAAAUAGGAGAUAGGAGAGCCAAGCCAAAAUAAUAUAUUAAUAUCUCAUACCAUCUACCAAUCCCCUCAAACCCAGAAAAAAAAAAUAUGAAUUUUAUUGCACUUUUUGACUUGCCAUGCGAGCGCAUCCGCCAUGGCAAAUGUCAAAAACUUAAAUUAUAUAAUUUAUAUAAACACAUAAUUUACACAAUUAGUCAAAAAUAAACUAUAAGAGUUAGAAAAUAGAUAGAAGUAUACAUACACAAAAUUUGGUGAUAGGGAAAGCCGAGCAAAAAAAUAUGUACUAAUAUCCCUUGUCAUCUCCCCAUCCCCUCAAAACAAAACAAAAUUUUAAUUUUAUUGCAUUUGUAUGGCUGACUUGCCAUGCUAGCGCACCCGUCAUAGUAAAGGUCAGACACAUAAAUUACAUAAUUUAUCUAAAUAUAUAAUUUAUACAAUUGGUCCGAAAAUAAAUAUAAGAGUUAGGAAAAAUAAAAAAGUAUGCAUGUAGACAAAUGGGAGAUAGGGAGACUCGAGCCGAAAUUGUAUGUCAAUAUCCCGUCGCAUCUCCCAAUCCCUUCAAAACUAAAAAUAGGGUGAAUUUUAUUGCAUUUUUUGACCUAUUAUAGCAGGGCACCCGCCGUGGUAAAAGUUAGAAUCAUAAAUCAUAUAAUUUACGUCAGUAUAUAAUUUACACUAGUUGUCAGAAAAUAAAUAUAAAAAUUAAAAAAAAUAAUAAUAAUACACAGGCAGACAAAUGGGAGAUGGGAAGAGCCGGGCCAAAAUAAUAUAUUAAUAUCCCGUGCCAUCUCCUCAUCCCCCCAAAACCAAAAAGACAUAAAUUUUAUUGCACUUUUUGACCUGCCAUGGGAGCGCACCCGCCAUGGCAAAGGUCAGACACGUAAAUUACAAUACUUGAUCUUGUCAAUUCUAACGACAAAUAAUUUUUUUCAUCUCACAAUUUCUCCACACAUCUCACUCUCAUUCCUUCAACACAACCAAUCAGGUAUGGAACGCCACAUAUGAGCUUUCCCAGUGCCAUAUGACCGUACGCACACUACAACACUGGAUCUCAUUGGAAUUGAAUCGUUACCAAUUCUUGAAAAACUGCAACAAAAGGAUAGAUCUCAUAAGAUCUCUAACCUGACUAGCAAAAGUUCAACUUGAUUAUUCAGAAAUCGAGUUCUUCUCUACUUUUCUUAAAUCAUAUAUCAAACUUUUGCAGGAACUACACAAUCAAUUAAUAAUUAUGUGAUGAAAACCAAUAUUGUAGCGCGCAAUUCAAAUACAAUAGUCAGAGGCAACAUUGUAAUAACUAACAGAAUAAUUCAAACUACGGUUUACUAAAAACAGGGUACCUACGGGUACAAGCAAGGAAUAUGAUAUAAAAAUUUGAAAGAAAAAUUUGAUGACAGCAAAUACAAAAAAGAAAGAGAAAGAAGCUGUUGGUUCACUUAUUUGAAUUUCUCUUCUAGCUUAGCUCUAGAAAUUUAAAGUCUUAACCUCGAAUUUGAUAGAACGCUUAUUUGAUAUUUUAACUUCAAAGAGAAAAGAAUAUAUGAAAAGAAAAGAAAAAGAACCUGCAGACUUGAUCAAGAGAAAAUAUGGAAACGAAUCAAAACAAAACAGCCACAGGAAAUAAAGCCUACUUGAGAAAAUUUUUGGAGGUAGACACAUUAGUAUUCAACAAACAAUUCCAUCUCAAUAAUACAAAAACAAAACAAAAUAUUGAUAAAUAUGGGGGAAAAAAUAAAGAUUCAUGGUCCAUGUACCUACGGUCUUGACCAAGAAAAGAUAUGAAAGGAAUCAUAACGAAACAGUCAACGAAGGAAGGAGAAAGCAAGAAGUGUUAACAACAUGUUAUAUAUCCGAAUCAGAGACUGUUCUUGAGAUGUGGAGCAACUCGAAGUUGAUGACAUCCAAUAGGAAAAGAGAGAGAUAAAAAGGGAGAUAAACGUUAUGACAAAGGAUGAUAAAUUUGAAAAAAAAAAAAAAAUUCAAGAUCCAAAACCUGUAGUCUCAAUACAAAAAAAGUAGGAAAGGAAUCAAAAUGAAAUAGCCAAUGCAGGAAAGAGAGAGAGAUGAGUGAUAACAACAUAUGAAAGAACCAAAUCAGAUACUAUUCUUGAGAUUUGGAGAAAUUCCAAGUCGAUGACAUCAAAGAUGAAAAGAGAAAGAGAAAGAGAAAAAAGGAGAUAGACACAUAAGGAUUCAAUGAACAAUUCUAUCUCAACGAUACAAUACAAAGCAAAAUAAUGAUAAAUUUGAAAAAGAAAGAAAAAAAUCAGAACAACACAUUGCAAAAAGUUAAACAAACCAUAUAACGGUUGAGGUAGCAAGCUGCAAAAUGCCAUUUAAUAUCCACCAAACAGACAAAUGAGAAGAAAUUGUUAGAACAGAUCAACAACCAAGAAAGAGGUUCUUUUUAGAAAACAAAUCUUCCAGCAAAUUAAGGAUCAUUAAACAGUCUUUCGCCUGGCUUUUUUUGCAUGCUCUUGCUUUCCUAGGAACAAAAAGUGAGCUAUUAAGCACGCAUUCUAACAGUCCAGAACAUAAUCAACUAGCAACCAAAAGGCCUAAAGGCAUAUUAUAUUAGCCUUUGCACAGGCAGAUUUUCCAGUAACACAGAAUACAUGCAAAUCAACUCACACACUUUUGAGUUUCCUACAUCCUAUUAGAUAGAGUCAAUGGAGCAUGCCAACACACUGGAUAAUGUAGGUGAUCAAUGAAAAGCAAGAAAAGAACUCAUGUAAUAACAUCCAAUGCAAACAAAAAGUGGUCAAGGCAUACAAACAUGCACUUUGAUAGACUGUUCAAAUUACGUAUUCAUUUACCACAAAUAUUCAUAGAUUCUUCAAGAAUAAGUAUGCACGUAUACUACAGUCACACAGCAACCAGCAAAAUUCCCUUAUUGCAUCACCAACCGAUUGUGAGUAACAAAUACAUGAAGAACGGUGAAAUUUUAAAAGAAAACUGGCAAAAAGGAAAAAAAAACAAAAAAUCAAAUAUGAACAGCAAAAGAAAACUGGGCAAUAGAUGCCUCCCUGCCUCUCACACAUUUCUCAUAUUUCCUUCAAAUUUCAUGUUCAACCGAAGAAAAAAAGUUCCAGGAAAAACCAAAAGAAUACCUAUAGGAUUUAUGCAAAUAAAUAUACAUACCGGCUUAAUCACCAGUAUUAACAAAGCACAAAAGCAACAAACAUUAAAAUCGAUCCUAACCAUUCAAUUUUAAAUUUAUGUCCAACAAUGGCACUACAGCAGCAUAAGAAUGCAUCUUAGAGUUGAAGAGCAUAGAGAAUAAGGUCAGUAAGGAGCCUUCCUUCUCAGAAGCAGAAGAAGAAGAUAAAUCCAAAAGAUGAGAUUUGUAGCAUACCAACAAUUCCUCCACACCAUCUCAAGACCUGGAUAUAAACUUCUACACGAACUCCUUUUCUGUCAAAAGAACCACCUCAUAAAAACUCAAGUCCUCUCUGCUACAACUUAAUCAACCUCAAAACCUGCAAAACCCUGCAACAAAGAAAGAUUCUAUCUUAAAAACUGUACAUCAAGCAGACAGGUUCUCAGCCAAAAUUUCCUUCGUAAACCCCAUUAUGUUCAAGGACAAUUGAAUUUCUGUCUUCAACUUCUCCUUGGAGGUCAUAAGAAGAAGCUUACCCUCUAAACAUAGUCACACUUUAAUUUCUCCGGAAACCCAUAACUUACAAUCAAAUCAAAUUUUUUCUUGAAACUUUUUCCGCUCAGGCAACUGAUCAUUUUAUAUUGCCCAAACGAGCAUAUCCUUGAGUUAACUGAAACUCAUGACACAAAAAAAAAAAAAAAGAACCAAGCAAGAUCAGAACCCAAAAGAGCUACUCCUCGA